Molecule: transfer RNA, 74 nt
Filed under: Candidatus Levyibacteriota bacterium
Lineage: Bacteria; Candidatus Levyibacteriota
Description: tRNA-Val
Rfam family: tRNA
About the family: Transfer RNA (tRNA) molecules are approximately 80 nucleotides in length. Their secondary structure includes four short double-helical elements and three loops (D, anti-codon, and T loops).
Source: RNAcentral
GGACUCUUGGCUCAGCUGGUAGAGCGUCUCAUUUACACUGAGAAGGUCAGAGGUUCGAAUCCUCUAGAGUCACA